This 253-nucleotide ribosomal RNA is filed under the name uncultured bacterium. RNAcentral describes it as "partial 16S ribosomal RNA". It matches the Rfam family "Bacterial small subunit ribosomal RNA", at positions 524 to 776 of the family's 1533-position model. The record is from RNAcentral.
UACGUAGGGUGCGAGCGUUAAUCGGAAUUACUGGGCGUAAAGCGUGCGCAGGCGGAUUGUUAAGCAAGAUGUGAAAUCCCCGGGCUUAACCUGGGAAUUGCAUUUUGAACUGGCAGUCUAGAGUGUGGCAGAGGGGAGUGGAAUUCCACGUGUAGCGGUGAAAUGCGUAGAUAUGUGGAGGAACACCAGUGGCGAAGGCGGCCCCCUGGGAUAACACUGACGCUGAGGUGCGAAAGCGUGGGGAGCAAACAGG